CCUACGGGAGGCAGCAGUAGGGAAUAUUGCUCAAUGGGGGAAACCCUGAAGCAGCAACGUCGCGUGGAGGAUGAAGGUCCUCGGAUUGUAAACUCCUUUUGUUAGAGAAGAUAAUGACGGUACCUAACGAAUAAGCACCGGCUAACUCCGUGCCAGCAGCCGCGGCAAUACGGCGGGUGCAAGCGUUACUCGGAAUCACUGGGCGUAAAGAGCGCGUAGGCGGGAUAGCAAGUCAGAUGUGAAAUCCUAUGGCUUAACCAUAGAACUGCAUUUGAAACUGGUAUUCUUGAGUAUGGGAGAGGUAGGUGGAAUUCUUGGUGUAGGGGUAAAAUCCGUAGAGAUCAAGAGGAAUACUCAUUGCGAAGGCGACCUACUAGAACAUAACUGACGCUGAUGCGCGAAAGCGUGGGGAGCAAACAGGAUUAGAUACCCCUGUAGUC
Molecule: ribosomal RNA, 440 nt
Filed under: uncultured bacterium
Lineage: Bacteria
Description: partial 16S ribosomal RNA
Rfam family: Bacterial small subunit ribosomal RNA
Source: RNAcentral